RNAcentral lists this ribosomal RNA (373 nucleotides) under uncultured organism. Its description in RNAcentral is "bacterial SSU rRNA". It matches the Rfam family "Bacterial small subunit ribosomal RNA", at positions 527 to 896 of the family's 1533-position model. The record is from RNAcentral.
CGGGGGAGCAAGCGUUGUUCGGAUUUACUGGGCGUAAAGGGCGCGUAGGCGGCCACCGCAAGUCGACUGUGAAAUCUCUGGGCUUAACCCAGAAAGGUCAGCCGAUACUGCGGGGCUAGAGUGCAGAAGGGGCAACUGGAAUUCUCGGUGUAGCGGUGAAAUGCGUAGAUAUCGAGAGGAACACCUGCGGCGAAGGCGGGUUGCUGGGCUGACACUGACGCUGAGGCGCGAAAGCUAGGGGAGCGAACGGGAUUAGAUACCCCGGUAGUCCUAGCCUUAAACGAUGAAUGCUUGGUGUCUGGGGUUUUAUAGUCCCCGGGUGCCGUCGCUAACGCUUUAAGCAUUCCGCCUGGGGAGUACGGUCGCAAGACUG